UACAGAGGGUGCAAGCGUUAAUCGGAAUUACUGGGCGUAAAGCGUGCGCAGACGGUUGCGUAAGUCAGAUGUGAAAGCCCCGGGCUCAACCUGGGAAUUGCAUUUGAGACUGCGUAGCUAGGGUGCGGAAGAGGGAAGCGGAAUUUCCGGUGUAGCGGUGAAAUGCGUAGAUAUCGGAAGGAACACCAGUGGCGAAGGCGAGUCUCUGGACGACUCCUGACACUGAGGCACGAAAGCUAGGGGAGCAAACAGG
RNAcentral lists this ribosomal RNA (253 nucleotides) under uncultured bacterium. RNAcentral describes it as "partial 16S ribosomal RNA". It matches the Rfam family "Bacterial small subunit ribosomal RNA", at positions 524 to 776 of the family's 1533-position model. The record is from RNAcentral.